CAUUACCAUCCUGACAUAGUUAUUCUUAAGACUUUAAAGUACAAACUUAGAAGGAAAAUGUUGAUUAACGUUUUCAUGCCGUUCAGGUAUACUGAAAGUAUUAAAAUGAAAUGUCAAAUUGGAAGAAUAUUGAAAUAACUUCAACAGAGUGCUUAAAAAUCAGAAAAAAUAUUUUUUAAAUGGGCAAAGGAACUUAAUACCUUUCUGGUAGGUAUAUUAAAUUGACAGAAUCAUUUUGAAAGUAGUUUUGGCAAUGCCUAGUAAACUUUGGAGUGUUCAUACCUUCUGAUCCAGAAAUUCCAUUUCAAGAAAAGAACCUAGAGAAAUUUGCACAUGUACACAAGGAGAUAUGCACGAAACUGAUCUUUACAACAUUCUUUGUGAAAGUAUAAACAGCCCACAUGGAGUGUGCAUCAACAGAUUUAUUUUUAUACUGGACUUCAGUAAGUUAAUGUGGAUCAUCCAGAUCCACAUGUAUCAACAUGGAUCUUGAUCCUAGAUGUUUCUUAUUGCUAGCUGACCAUAACCUCAACAGUAGAACAGAUAUCUAAGAAACAAAUCUUAGAGUUCCCACCACUCACUGAUGCUGCUCUUUUAUUCAGCUCUCAGGACACAGUUUUGAAAUUCACCAUCUCUGAGACCGGCCAGGGUCCAGGAGGAAGGAAGAGAGACAACUUGUUAGGGCCAGGUGAUGUAGAAGUCCAGGCUGCCCUCGUUAAUUGCUACAGUUUUAAAGUACAUAUGGAAAGAAUCCUGGCAUCCUCUUGGGAGGUUGUUUGGCCAUCCAGACAGAUCCCUCUCAGCCAGAUAUUUAAUGAAGAUACAAAUUACUGGGUCAGUGAAUGGAAUAAAAAGAAGUAUAAAACAAGUUACUGCUGUGAAGCAAUUAACACGCUAAGGGAACUACAGAGUGAUAUAGAGGUGGAAAUUAAGUUACCAGUUCAAGUGCAAUAGGCAGUGGAACAGCAAGUGGGAAGAGGAAAGAACAUGAAAAAAUCGGAUCUCCCAGAAGAGCUUCAUAAAAGAGGCACGCAUACAUUUACAGAAGCUUUUACCAUAUGUGUUAUAAGCACCCAAGAUUCAGAACAGAAGGAACAUAACUCCCAAUGAACAUUCGCUAUGGUGGAAGAACAGGGAAUACAACUUCAACAGCAGGUAUGUGGUUGUUCAUAUCCACAUGUGUGGUUAAUUCAGCAGUGGAAAUGACAUCAAGGACUCAGGCUUAUCUCCUGCCACUUUCUUUUAUGCAGUGUUCCUGAAGUGUGUUCACAAGCAGCUAAAGAAGCUCCCAUAGAGAGAAACUGAUCUUUCAAAGACAAGAGGAUAAACAGAAGAAAGAAACCUGGAAUCUCAGGCACAAGAAGAGCCAGAGAUGUAAACAGAAUGUGAAGAGAAC
RNA transcript from Fukomys damarensis (Damara mole-rat), 1396 nucleotides. It is a transcript of the gene named RNA-binding motif protein, X chromosome, with no coding region annotated. The transcript is spliced from 10 exons. The record is from RefSeq and is a predicted model, not a curated record. NCBI's taxonomy places the organism in Eukaryota, Metazoa, Chordata, Mammalia, Rodentia, Bathyergidae.